Non-coding RNA from Lactuca sativa (garden lettuce), 196 nucleotides. The record is from RefSeq and is a predicted model, not a curated record. NCBI's taxonomy places the organism in Eukaryota, Viridiplantae, Streptophyta, Magnoliopsida, Asterales, Asteraceae.
CAAUUUACAGCAAACUGUUUCUGUUUUUCUUUUUGGUUUGAGUGGUGCAUAUGUUUUGGUGGGGAGUGAAAUAAAGAAUCUGAAUUCUUCAUUUGGAAAUACGACGAUCAAUCAUUUUAGGAUCCGGAGAUUUUAAUGAAUUUUUACCAUGGAAUCCUAAUUCACAUACGACUGUCUAAAUGCUGAAGAUCACACU